UUUCUUCCUGGAGAUGACGUUCCUCCUUUAACCGCCGUUUCGUUCUGAAGCAGCUGAUGACGUCUACAGUGAC
Molecule: non-coding RNA, 73 nt
Filed under: Alcaligenes sp.
Lineage: Bacteria; Pseudomonadati; Pseudomonadota; Betaproteobacteria; Burkholderiales; Alcaligenaceae
Also listed under: 1 other name
Description: Fluoride sequence
Rfam family: Fluoride riboswitch aptamer (crcB RNA motif)
Source: RNAcentral